UCCCCGCUCCGCGAUUGGUGAGGACUAUUACUGGGCUUAAAGCGUCCGUAGCCGGCCCGGCGUGCUCCGCGUUAAAUCCAGCAGCCUAACUGCUGGGCUGCGCGGAUGACUGCCGGGCUUGGGGGUGGGAGAGGGCGGCGGUAUUCCCGGGGUAGGGGUAAAAUCCACUGAUCCCGGGAGGACCACCAGUGGCGAAGGCGGCCGCCCAGAACACGCCCGACGGUGAGGGACGAAAGCUGGGGGAGAGAUCGGG
RNAcentral lists this ribosomal RNA (253 nucleotides) under uncultured archaeon. RNAcentral's name for it is "partial 16S ribosomal RNA". It matches the Rfam family "Archaeal small subunit ribosomal RNA", at positions 474 to 727 of the family's 1478-position model. The record is from RNAcentral.